CACCAGGUAAAUGGAUUUCAAAUGAGCCAUGCUAUAUCACCAUUAUAAACACAGAUAAACAUGAGGUAGAUGGAUUUCAAAUGAGCCAUGCUAUAUCACCAUUAUAAACACAGAUAAACACCAGGUAAAUGGAUUUCAAAUGAGCCAUGUUAUAUCACCAUUAUAAACACAGAUAAAUACCAGGUAAAUAGAUUUCAAAUGAGCCAUGCUAUAUCACCAUUAUAAACACAGAUAAACACCAGGUAAAUGGAUUUCAAAUGAGCCAUGUUAUAUCACCAUUAUAAACACAGAUAAAUACCAGGUAAAUGGAUUUCAAAUGAGCCAUGCUAUAUCACCAUUAUAAACACAGAUAAAUACCAGGUAAAUGGAUUUCAAAUGAGCCAUGCUAUAUCACCAUUAUAAACACAGAUAAACACCAGGUAAAUAGAUUUCAAAUGAGCCAUGCUAUAUCACCAUUAUAAACACAGAUAAACACCAGGUAAAUGGAUUUCAAAUGAGCCAUGCUAUAUCACCAUUAUAAACACAGAUAAAUACCAGGUACAUGGAUUUCAAAUGAGCCAUGCUAUAUCACCAUUAUAAACACAGAUAAACACCAGGUAAAUGGAUUUCAAAUGAGCCAUGCUAUAUCACCAUUAUAAACACAGAUAAACACCAGGUAAAUGGAUUUCAAAUGAGCCAUGCUAUAUCACCAUUAUAAACACAGAUAAACACCAGGUAAAUGGAUUUCAAAUGAGCCAUGCUAUAUCACCAUUAUAAACACAGAUAAACACCAGGUAAAUGGAUUUCAAAUGAGCCAUGCUAUAUCACCAUUAUAAACACAGAUAAACAUGAGGUAGAUGGAUUUCAAAUGAGCCAUGCUAUAUCACCAUUAUAAACACAGAUAAACACCAGGUAAAUGGAUUUCAAAUGAGCCAUGUUAUAUCACCAUUAUAAACACAGAUAAACACCAGGUAAAUGGAUUUCAAAUGAGCCAUGCUAUAUCACCAUUAUAAACACAGAUAAACACCAGGUAAAUGGAUUUCAAAUGAGCCAUGUUAUAUCACCAUUAUAAACACAGAUAAAUACCAGGUAAAUGGAUUUCAAAUGAGCCAUGCUAUAUCACCAUUAUAAACACAGAUAAAUACCAGGUAAAUGGAUUUCAAAUGAGCCAUGCUAUAUCACCAUUAUAAACACAGAUAAACACCAGGUAAAUAGAUUUCAAAUGAGCCAUGCUAUAUCACCAUUAUAAACACAGAUAAACACCAGGUAAAUGGAUUUCAAAUGAGCCAUGCUAUAUCACCAUUAUAAACACAGAUAAACACCAGGUAAAUGGAUUUCAAAUGAGCCAUGCUAUAUCACCAUUAUAAACACAGAUAAACACCAGGUAAAUGGAUUUCAAAUGAGCCAUGCUAUAUCACCAUUAUAAACACAGAUAAACACCAGGUAAAUGGAUUUCAAAUGAGCCAUGCUAUAUCACCAUUAUAAACACAGAUAAACACCAGGUAAAUGGAUUUCAAAUGAGCCAUGCUAUAUCACCAUUAUAAACACAGAUAAACACCAGGUAAAUGGAUUUCAAAUGAGCCAUGCUAUAUCACCAUUAUAAACACAGAUAAACACCAGGUAAAUGGAUUUCAAAUGAGCCAUGCUAUAUCACCAUUAUAAACACAGAUAAACACCAGGUAAAUGGAUUUCAAAUGAGCCAUGCUAUAUCACCAUUAUAAACACAGAUAAACACCAGGUAAAUAGAUUUCAAAUGAGCUGAACACUGGAAAACAAUAUUUCUGAAUACUAUUUGUAUAAUCUUGACACUUACUACAACAAUAUGUCCAGGCAUAUUGGUCCCCUUUAAUAAGACUAACAGCAGCCAGUGAAGGACUUCCAUCAAUCAGACAGACAGAAGACUAGUGUUCUGACUUCAGCAACCAAAAUAGCACCCUAUUCCCUACGCAGUGUACAGUAUAUUCCCCUUAGUGCUCUGGUCUAAAGUAGUGCACUAUAUAGAGAAUAGGGUGGCAUAGUGCUCUGGUCUAAAGUAGUGCACUAUAUAGGGAAUAGGGUGGCAUAGUGCUCUGGUCUAAAGUAGUGUACAGUAUAUUCCCCUUAGUGCUCUGGUCUAAAGUAGUGCACUAUAUAGGGAAUAGG
This is a long non-coding RNA of Oncorhynchus keta (chum salmon), 2121 nucleotides long. RefSeq lists it as uncharacterized. The transcript has 4 exons. The record is from RefSeq and is a predicted model, not a curated record. NCBI's taxonomy places the organism in Eukaryota, Metazoa, Chordata, Actinopteri, Salmoniformes, Salmonidae.